This 1264-nucleotide long non-coding RNA is filed under the name Bos indicus x Bos taurus (hybrid cattle). RNAcentral describes it as "lncRNA (ENSBIXG00000013058.1)". The record is from RNAcentral. Lineage: Eukaryota; Metazoa; Chordata; Mammalia; Artiodactyla; Bovidae.
AUGAACCUACAUCUGCCCCCAAGGGAGUUUAUCGCCCACAGCGGGCACAGGUUGGACUCCAUGCAUACCCAUCCAUCAAUGGGUAAUGUGAAGGGAGGAAACAGAUGCAGUGAGCAGUGUGCAUCCAUCCUUCACCACCAGAAAUGGGCAGCCCCUGAGCUUGGCUCUGCCACUGGGCUCCUGGAGAGAGGCUGCCAUGGUCCAGUGAGCAGCCCAGGUUCUCCAGGCUGGACAGGGCACAUGGCAGGUACGGAGUGUUCCUGACCAUGUUUCACGAGAAUGUGCGAGCUCAGCUUGAUGAUGAGUCUAUGACCGGAAUGAAUCGCCUCCAUUUAUUUUCAAGGGAAGAAAGAGAAAAAGAUACAAAUAUCCUUAGUAAGUUAGGGAUCAAAACACGUUACUGGGGACUUGCUGGCAGUCCAGUGGUUCAGACUCCAUGCCCUCAAAACAAGGAACACGAACUUGAUCCCUGGUUGGGGAACUAAGAUUCCCUACAUGCUAUACGGUACGGCCAAAAAGAAAGAAAGAAAUUAUUCAUAAAGUCAAAUAGUGUGUUAGUCACUCAGUCAUGUCCGACUCUUUGUGACCCCCAUGGACAGUAGCCCACCAGGCUCCUAUGUCCAUGGAAUUCUCCAGGUUAAAAUACUGGAGUGGGUUGCCAUUUCCUUCUCCAGGGGAUCUUCCCAACCCAGGGAUUGAACACAGGUCUCCUGCAUUAUCAGCAGAUUCUUUACCAUCUGAGCCACCAGGAAAGCCCUAGGGCGAUGUAAGUAGCAAAAAAAAAAAAUAUAUUCCUGUUAAUUUUGUGGGAAAGGAGGGAUAGGUGGAGCCGAGGGGGGUUUUUAGGGCAGUAAAAUUAUUCUGCAUGAUUCGAUAAUGGUAGAUACAGGUCAUCACACAUUUGCCCAAGCCCAUAGGGUGUACAACACCAAAAGUGAGUCCUAAUGUCAACUAUGAUUUUAGCAAAUAAUAAUGUCAGUGCCUCACUUUUAACAAAUGAACUACACUAACUCAAGAUGCUCGUGAUACAAGAGAAUGAGGAGAGAGUAGGAGUUCACGUGGGAACUCUCUGUACUUUCCAAUCAUGUUUCUGUAAACCUAAAACUGCUCUUAACAAAACAAAGGAAAACCAAACAUCACUGCCGGUCUGGGUCUUAGUAGAGGAUCUUUGUGGGAUGGGGCCUGGAGUGGCCCAGAGGAAACCCCCAAACCACUGUCCUGACCAUGCCACAGCCUGGGAUGGUGUGGCACCAACUGUGCCCAU